AUGGUGAUCAAGACCCAAAAUGGACAAGUUCUGAAAAAAGACAAGGAGGUCAUUGCUAGCCUACUCGAUACAACCGUAAGAACUGUUGAGAGAAUAUGGGAAAGAGCUCUUAAACAGAUUGAAAAAGGGGAGAAAGUUGAUGUCUCAAAUCAAAAGCCAGGUAGAGUUGGCCGCAAGCGGAAAGAUUUGGAUCUGUCAAGGGUGAUGACAAUCCCAUUGAAUAGAAGGAGAACAUUGCGAGGUCUGUCAAAGGCAUUGGGUGUAAGCUGCACGACCUUACACUCAAGGUUCGAGUGGGGUAAUUUGAGGCGUCAUAGUAAUAAGUUGAGGCCCCACUUAAACCUAUCCAACAUUGUAAAGAGAUUGAAAUGGUGCUUGGCUAUGUGUGAAGAUUAUUGGUCUGCGACACGGAAAUUAGACAACAUAACCUACAUGGAUGAAAAGUGGUUCAACAUGACUGGGGAGGUGAACAACUACUAUUUGCUUCCUGAAGAACCCGACCCCGCGCACCUUGCAUCAUAA
Molecule: ribosomal RNA, 522 nt
Filed under: Triticum aestivum (bread wheat)
Lineage: Eukaryota; Viridiplantae; Streptophyta; Magnoliopsida; Poales; Poaceae
Description: partial small subunit ribosomal RNA
Source: RNAcentral